Long non-coding RNA from Daphnia pulicaria, 1578 nucleotides. RefSeq lists it as uncharacterized. The record is from RefSeq and is a predicted model, not a curated record. The transcript is spliced from 4 exons. Lineage: Eukaryota; Metazoa; Arthropoda; Branchiopoda; Diplostraca; Daphniidae.
ACGACGUACUAUUUACCCAGUUCGUUUUAUGUUAACUUUCAGUAAUGGAAUCGAGUGAAAUAAUUUGGAAUUUUGGCCAUAACAUUACUGGUCAUAAUUUUUAUGGGAGCCGUAGUAUGGGUUAUCGUUUAUUUAGAGCAUUUUUUGGGACAACCCCACAAGUUUGUGAAGUUGAGCCAGUAGUGGAAUAAACGAGGCUUUAGUCGUCUAUUUAUGUUUAUAAAUUCCGAUUUUACUUCAUCUUUUCUUACUUCAGGUUUUUUAAUGCGUCCUAAAGUACGUUUUACUCCAGCUCCCGGCGUGAAACCCACGUUAAAAACCACUAGUGACAAUAUCCCUAAAAAAAAAUUCAGACAUCAUCAUUAAAAGGAAGUUAGGAAAAAACGUAAUACAGUAAACGAUCCGAUUAUAAACGGCUCUACAAGAAAAAAAGAAAAAAGGUUUACAGUCGCAUCAUACGGAAAAAAUACACACAUUUUGAAGAGGAAAACGGAGAGAUAUUUAAAAUAUCAAAAUCCAUUAAGGUUUUCAAAGAUGAAAACUUAUCAUGAUUUGUUUUGGGGAAUGUCGUCCAUUCUGGGACUUCCCUCGUGUGACAAGCUCAACCUCAUUUGCAGAAUUGAUGCUGUCCAGUUUACGGCAACACCUGUGUAGCCACCAAUCAUGAUGGGGUUCAUAGAUGUCUUCACGUUGUAUCUGCAGCUAGUCACCUACCGUUUCACCUGGAAGGUAACGUCUUCAAAAAGUUCGAUGAAAUGGUGGAUGAUAAUUAUUGCCCCCCACUCAGUAGCCCACGGAGUGGGUAAGCCGCAUGAUGGUGGUGGGAAAACCAGAUGGAAAGGUUCAGAUUUGCUUAAACCUGGCUGAACUCAAUCAUUAAAAGACAACACUGUCGUGCCCUACCGUUGAGCACUAUUUAGCAAAUAAAGUAAAACACGUCAUUUUUGCAGGCUUGGAGUUUCUAUGAGAUUCCGUAGUCCAAUUCAGCAUUUGUGCACUAUGGCAGCACCAAAAAGUCAAUACCACUACCUACGCUUGUCAUUCGAAUGGAAGUCGACUCCUGAACUUUUCCUGAUCGAGGUCGUUAUCACUAAAAAAUACCGCGGUCGUGAUCGUGCGAUCAAACGAUUGCGAUCAUCACAACUUUUGAGCUCGUGUCCUCUGCAAGCCAGUUCUGCGCUUAGGAGGGUCACAUAUUUUGUUAAUCGUUGUUUUGUAGGCAUUAGCAUUCGAAGAUAAAAAAGGUUUUAGAGUUAUCAAUUUACAUUAUAAAAGCUUUUGCAUUUUUUUACUUCUCCGUUAAAAAUUCUUUUUAUUCUCUGUAUUUUUGUAGAAAAGUGAGGUUUUUUGUUUUUGGUUUACUUCUUUCAGUAGUAGCAGUAACAAUUCUUUGGUUUCUUUUUAAAAAGGCGGGUUUGUUGUGCUGCAAUGUUUGCCGAAACAGCAAAACCUGUCUAGGCUAAGAUGACAAAAACACCAUGGCGUCGAAAGUUUAGAAACCAAAUUAUGAAUAUCCAAGACAAGUAGACUUUUGCUAUUGGUCUAACAAACUACCAACCAUGAGUCAACGUUAUGAAU